CUAAGAGAAAGGUAAAUAAUUAAAGAAAGUGAAUGUUUUCUUUAAUAAAACCGUAUAAAUUGUUUUAAUCUUUAAUAUACGGUAAGUCUUGAAGUACACAAGACGCUCCCUUACUCUUUUCCCUAAUGCCUGUUCUUUUCCUCUUCCUCUUUUUUUAUAGGGCCUGUAGCUCAGUUGGUUAGAGCACUUCUCUGAUAAGGAAGGGGUCAUUAGUUCAACUCUAAUCAGGCCCAUACCGACUGAACUCGGUUUUUUAUUCGAUUGAUAAAAAAAUCGAAAUUGAUAUUUGAAAUAGAUAGGGAAGGGAACGAAAAAAUGAAAGUAAGGCGGUUUAUAUCGGAGUGUAAGCGUAAAAUCGGUUAAUUAAAUUGACUGUGAGGGUUUAUGUAAAGAUAUAAGCUGUUAAGAAAUAAGUUCAUUCUUUGAAAAUGAGAAAGAAGGGACGAUAAUAU
Molecule: transfer RNA, 452 nt
Filed under: spirochete isolate 1-9185MED
Lineage: Bacteria; Pseudomonadati; Spirochaetota; Spirochaetia; Spirochaetales; Spirochaetaceae
Description: 16S-23S intergenic spacer region
Rfam family: tRNA (bases 160-233)
Source: RNAcentral